UGGCGGACGGGUGAGUAACGCUGGGUAACUGCCUUGUACUGGGGCGAACAGUUAGAAAUGACUGCUAAUACCGCAUAAGCGCACAGUAUCGCAUGAUACGGUGUGAAAAACUCCGGUGGUACAAGAUGGACCCGCGUCUGAUUAGCUAGUUGGUAAGGUAACGGCUUACCAAGGCGACGAUCAGUAGCCGACCUGAGAGGGUGACCGGCCACAUUGGGACUGAGACACGGCCCAA
Molecule: ribosomal RNA, 235 nt
Filed under: uncultured bacterium
Lineage: Bacteria
Description: partial 16S ribosomal RNA
Rfam family: Bacterial small subunit ribosomal RNA
Source: RNAcentral